RNAcentral lists this ribosomal RNA (253 nucleotides) under uncultured bacterium. RNAcentral describes it as "partial 16S ribosomal RNA". It matches the Rfam family "Bacterial small subunit ribosomal RNA", at positions 524 to 776 of the family's 1533-position model. The record is from RNAcentral.
UACAGAGGGGGCAAGCGUUAUUCGGAAUUAUUGGGCGUAAAGAGCUCGUAGGCGGUCCGUUGCGUCCGCUGUGAAAACUCGGGGCUUAACCCCGAGCCUGCAGUGGAUACGGGCAGACUAGAGGUAGGUAGGGGAGAAUGGAAUUCCCGGUGUAGCGGUGAAAUGCGCAGAUAUCGGGAGGAACACCGGUGGCGAAGGCGGUUCUCUGGGCCUUACCUGACGCUGAGGAGCGAAAGCGUGGGGAGCGAACAGG